Long non-coding RNA from Tyto alba (common barn owl), 357 nucleotides. RefSeq lists it as uncharacterized. Lineage: Eukaryota; Metazoa; Chordata; Aves; Strigiformes; Tytonidae. The transcript is spliced from 3 exons. The record is from RefSeq and is a predicted model, not a curated record.
GAUAAUGCAUGUUGAAAUACAGAAGUCGUCUUUGUGGCUCUGCGACGGUGGCCAGAAUGGAGGCUGCUGAGCUGGCCCACCCUGGGAGCCCUCUCAGAGACAUCGCGCCGGUUUGUGACGUUUCCAGCCACCCGUGCCCACGCUAUUCCCCUCAAAUUGUACUGAAAGGGCAGAAAUACUGUAGCAGCAACAUUUGGGUAAUAUAAGAACUGUGACAAAACCCCGUCCGCUUCUGUUCUCCAGCGUCAGCAAAGCAAUAGUAGUUGAAAGGAGAAGAAAAAACUAUCCCAUUUUAACUAUAGAGAAUACAUAGAUACUACAGCUGUGCAUGAGUAUUCCUUCUGAUAUGGAGCAGGA